RNAcentral lists this long non-coding RNA (1272 nucleotides) under Anas platyrhynchos platyrhynchos (common mallard). RNAcentral's name for it is "lncRNA (ENSAPLG00000020723.1)". The record is from RNAcentral. Lineage: Eukaryota; Metazoa; Chordata; Aves; Anseriformes; Anatidae.
UUCUAUAUAUAAAUGUGUUUGAGUCUUAAAUAAAACUAUGUCUUAAUUUAAAAAUAGAACAGUUCAAAAUGAUUGACACUUGUUCCAAUUUCCAUUAACAGAUUUGGAAAGGCUCACUAUUGGCUAAGGAUGAGCCACCACUAGUCACAGAGAAUAUUAUUGUCUGCACUGGUGUCCAUCAAAAGUCAGUGUUUGCCAAGAACUGCCACAUGUUUCUCUCUGAGUUACUGUAGUUGCAUGAAAUAGAAGAUGAUUCCUGUCAUACCUAUGCUAUUUAAGACACAACAUGUGAUAAUCACCAUUAAAGGUCAGUAUUAUCUGCCUGGAAGUACCUGUCACACGAUAGAAUUAUAUACAUCACAAUAUACCAUCUACAUGCUGUAAUUGUAAUUGAAAAAUAUUUUCCACCUUUUUGAUAUUGGAAGAUUUUAUAACUAGGUAUUAUCUAGCAUUUUCUAAGUUUGCAAGUGAAAUGUAUUUUAUGACAUCUGUUGGCACAAUACUUAAAAACCAUACAGGAGACAUGGUAACGUAAAAUACAUUUUCAUUUGCCUUUCACUUGUUUUUUGUUGUUUUCUUUCUUUAUUUGGAUUACUUUUAGAAGGAAAAAAAAUAUCUGUUUUUAAAGGCAUUUUCUUCUUUUCACAGCUAAUGUUUCAUACUCCCUGAUCCUGUAGUGAAUGAAUUAUUGUGGAUUUAUGAACAUAUUAAUCAUCUCCAUGGAAACAGUUUGCAAUUUCACAGCACAAGAGUUUGACUUCCCUGCAUGAUAAAGAAAAAGGAAUAAGCUAAAAAAGUGAAGCUGAGAGGAGAUGUAAUGCCCCUUCCAACUCAGGCACAGUCAAAGUUAUGAACAUCUGCUGUGGACUCCUGGGUCUAGGAGAGAAAUCAGUCCAUCCAGACUGUGGGUGACCAAGAGCUUUGCAGUUUGCAGAUGCAGACUUUCAGGAGGAACAUGAUGCCUGCCAGCUGGGACCAUGAUGCAGCCCAGAAACACCUGAUGCUAGCAGAGAAGCUCAGGAAGGGAGGGUGCUCUGGGGAGACCUAUCAGAAGAGGAAGGAAGAGAGGAAGUACUGAAAAAGAAAGCACAGCUUUAUCUUAGGUGUUGGUGGGGAGCCUGGAGGCUGAAGGUUAAAGAAAGUUUGGAUGUUUCUUCUUGGCUGCUUCUGAAGAUGGAGGUGGUGGUUACUUUAAGCUCCUUGGUGCUCCAAGAGGAUCCCGUAGCAGCUGUAUGGACUCUGCUCCUCCAGGCUCCGUUUCAGGUCAGUUGA